CGGCGAAAGCGGGUGACCCAAUUUAUGGGAGUUUAUUCAGGAGUGGAAGAAUUGAAGCUAUGUCGAGAAUCGAGGUGUUAACUCCAAAACCCAGAUUACUUUAAAUGGUACGGGCGAGUGGGUUUUGAGAGGGCCUGUCUGGCUCAAGUAUUUCCCGCACGUCGAUUGCCUCCUGUCCAUCUAUGGCGGCUCACCAGGGAUCACAUCAGAAUAAAAUGUUUCGGCAGCGUGGGAGAAGAAGGAACGAAGCGUUUGUCUGUUAAGGCAGGUGUGUAAACGGGUGUUGGAGAAUAGAGGGGGAGAAAGAAAGAGCACCAAAGAUUGCGUUGCACUGUGUUUUUCUUUUCGAGAAAGUGCGUGUUUGUACCCGAUCAACUCCGUCGUAGAGACCUCCGGCAGUCUGAAGGCCAAGCUAAGGGACACCCGUGGCCUGCUGAGGAUUAGCUGUGUGUUCUUACUACUCUCCAGUCAAGAAAGAUGUUUCCUCUAACGUCACACAGGCCGACUGACCUACUCAAACUCAGCCAGAUAACAUCUGUACUCCACUGUUAAAGGGAAGUGUUUGCUUUUUCAGGAAGGCUCCACUACAGUCCAUGGUUCAGCCAGAUCAAAGGCAGCCAUCUUCUGUAACGCAGCGCUCUCCCGAGGCCCUUGAAGAGCUGCACAGCCGAUGACGACAGCCUCCAGGUGUUGCGAUUCACAGAACAUCACAACGGUCCUUUCUAUAAAAGGACCCUGUUUAUUCACUUAAAGGGACAGUUCACUGAAAAUGCUUAAAGUGCCCAUAUUAUGAAAAAAAUCACGUUUUCUGGGUUUUGGGGUGUUCUUUUGCGUCUCUGGUGCUUCCACACGCAUACAAACUUUGGAAAAAAAACAUCCAUGCUGUUUUGAGUGAGAUAUAGGUUUCUGAAUGUCCUCUGUCUUCAGUCUCUGGGUGAGCUGUUAGAAAACUCCUCGGACUGUGACGUCACAGUCCGAAAAAUUUAAAUAUUCCCACCCUCCACCCACCAGGUACAGCAGUAACUUCUUCUCUGAUAUCCUCCAUGUUGUUACUGAUUCAGAACCACCAUGUCGAAGCACCACUUAAACUGUGGUUGGCUGUAAAGAGGAGCACAAAACACUCCAUCGCGUCCCAGCCGCAGAGGACAGAAGAGUGGCAUGGCUUGAAUUCAUUUUUGAAGGCAAUGUCCCUGCUACAGUUAUCAAAAUUUUUUCGGUUUGUGCUAACCAGUUUGAGACGGCUGUUUCUCCAACUUCGGUCAGUACAAGGCAGGAUUAGCCAAGAAACUUUUGCUAAAAGAGUGCGCAAUUCAAACUUUGCGUGGAAUACCUGCAGACAAGGGACAUGUAAGUAGUUCUAUACAAUUAGCUGUCUUUAUUUUGCAAUUCUACACAAACUAACCAAGAAGU
This is a long non-coding RNA of Esox lucius (northern pike), 1410 nucleotides long. The record is from Ensembl. Lineage: Eukaryota; Metazoa; Chordata; Actinopteri; Esociformes; Esocidae.